Molecule: unclassified non-coding RNA, 2582 nt
Filed under: Hevea brasiliensis (rubber tree)
Lineage: Eukaryota; Viridiplantae; Streptophyta; Magnoliopsida; Malpighiales; Euphorbiaceae
Source: RNAcentral
GAAACACACUACUACUAUCAUUUUGAACUUAAACAUUCCACACACUUUCUCUCUCUAAAAGUAUACAAUUAUGUAUAUAUAGAGAGUUUUUUUUUUUGUAGGUAUAAAUCUCUGUGGAAGUAAUUUUUGGUGUAUUGGAUGUGAGAGAAGAAAGGUGUAAAAAAGUUGAACGGAGAUGUCGGAGUUUUCCGGCGAGUUAUCGGAGUUCAGUUCCGGAGAAAACGGCGUCGGUGGAGGAGGCAAUGUGCGUGAGACGACGCCGUUGACAGUGUCGGCGUCGUUUAAGGAAGGGAAGAGUUCACGGAGGAAGACGGCGGUGAUGAGGCCAAGCCUUGAUGCGGAUGAGUUCUUUAACCUUCUUCAUGGUUCGGAUCCGGUGAAAUUGGAGCUCAAUCGACUUGAGAAUGAAGUCAGAGAUAAGGACCGGGAAUUGACUGAAGCUCAAGCGGAGAUCAAGGCACUGAAGUUAUCAGAGAGAUUACGAGAAAAGGCUGUUGAAGAGCUCACGGAUGAGUUGUCAAGGGUCGACGAGAAGCUUAAGUUGACAGAAUCUCUUUUAGAAAGCAAGAAUCUUGAAAUUAAGAAAAUUAAUGAUGAGAAGAAAGCAUCAAUGGCAGCUCAAUUUGCAGCAGAAGCCACUCUUAGAAGGGUCCAUGCUGCCCAAAAAGAUGAUGAUAUGCCGCCUAUUGAAGCCAUCCUUGCACCUUUGGAGGCCGAACUCAAACUUGCACGUCAGGAGAUUGCAAAGCUGCAAGAUGAUAAUAAAGCACUGGAUCGUCUUACAAAGUCGAAAGAGGCAGCUUUACUUGAAGCUGAGAGAACUGUGCAGUCAGCAUUAGCAAAAGCUUCUAUGGUGGAUGACCUUCAGAACAAGAACCAAGAGUUGAUGAAACAGAUAGAAAUAUGCCAGGAAGAAAAUAAAAUAUUGGACAGAAUGCAUCGCCAAAAGGUUGCAGAGGUUGAAAAACUUACCCAAAGUGUGCGCGAGCUUGAGGAGGCUGUUCUGGCUGGUGGUGCAGCUGCUAAUGCUGUCCGGGAUUAUCAACGGAAAGUUCAAGAGAUGAAUGAAGAAAGAAAAACACUUGAUCGAGAGCUGGCACGUGCCAAGGUAACAGCUAAUAGGGUAGCAACUGUGGUUGCUAAUGAGUGGAAAGAUGCCAAUGAUAAAGUAAUGCCUGUGAAACAAUGGCUUGAAGAAAGGAGGUUUUUGCAGGGUGAGAUGCAAACGUUGCGUGACAAGCUCACAGUCACUGAACGAGCUGCUAAAUCAGAAGCCAUGUUAAAGGAGAGAUAUCAACUGAGGCUUAAGGUCCUUGAAGAAACAUUAAGAUCAUCCAGCUCAGCUACUCGCAGUACACCAGAUGGUAGAAGUUCAAGCAAUGGUCCUUCACGCCGGCAAUCACUGGGAGGCGCUGAGAACAUCUCCAAAUUAACUUAUAAUGGCUUUUUACCAAAGAGAUCACCAUCAUUUCAGCUUAGAUCUUCUGGGUCCAGCACAGUGCUGAAGAAUGCUAAAGGGACAUCAAAGUCAUUUGAUGGUGGCUCAAGAUCAUUGGACAGGGGUAAAAAACUUCUGAAUGUAACAGGUCCAAAUUUCAAUAGCAGCAAGUCUGUUGAUGGAGUUAAGGAUAAUGAGACUGAAACUACUUCUUGGAAAUCAAAUCAAGAUGAAAAACGUACCGACCUACCAGUAACUGAAACAGAAGAUACUGUGCCUGGACUACUAUAUGACUUACUUCAAAAAGAGGUAGUUGCUUUGCGGAAAGCUGGCCAUGAAAAGGAUCAAAGUCUUAAAGACAAGGACGAUGCAAUUGAGAUGUUAGCUAAGAAAGUAGAGACUUUAACAAAAGCCAUGGAAGUUGAGGCCAAAAAGAUGAGAAGGGAGGUUGCUGCCAUGGAGAAAGAGGUCGCUGCUAUGCGUGUUGAGAAAGAACAAGAAAAUAGGGCAAAAAGAUUGGGAAAUUCUAAGGGUCCAGUGAACAGUUCUCAGCUGCUACCUGGAAGGAGUGUAGCACGAAGUGGGUUAACACGCACACAAUAAAACACAAGGGAAACCUAUAAUUGUCUUAAGAAGCAACUCCGCGUAAACCUCAGGAGCUCCUUGUGUGCCUUAGAAAUCCCCUAUUUUUACCCCCGUGAUGGUUGAUUGUAAAACAGCAACAAGCAUGCCAAUGACUAUGAUGUUUCUGCUCUGGUUGGAGCAAGAAAGCGAUAUCUUUAAACAUGGAGAUAGGCAGUGAAUCUUGGUGUGCUUCUGACUUAGAAGACUGUGGUCCGGUCCCUCUCUGCUUACAGAUAAGCAGGAAAAGAAACUCAAGAUGUCAGAGUUGAGCUAACCUUUUGGCAGAGAACAAUUUGUGUCACAGUUGAUUUUGUGGUUGUAUAGAGUAGCUUGUUGGCAUUUACUUGGUCUAUUCCGUUUUCAUGUUGUUUGCAGUCUAUAUUUGUAAUCUGCAGCUCUAGUGUGAUGUGUUAUUGGUUCAGGUUUGUUAAUAUUGUUGCAAUGAGAUAAGUAUGAGAAUUUUUUCGCCGCAUUUUUUUUAGCUUUCUAUUUCCCUCAGUUCAAAACUAGUCGUCGUAUG